Long non-coding RNA from Myiozetetes cayanensis, 2637 nucleotides. RefSeq lists it as uncharacterized. NCBI's taxonomy places the organism in Eukaryota, Metazoa, Chordata, Aves, Passeriformes, Tyrannidae. The transcript has 2 exons. The record is from RefSeq and is a predicted model, not a curated record.
AACAACGAUGAUGAUGAUGAUGGUGGUGAUGGGGAUACAACAAUGAAGAUGAUGAUGAUGAUGGUGGUGGUGGGGACACAACGAGGAUGAAGAUGAUGAUGGUGAUGAUGAUGGUGGGGACACAACAAGGAUGAAGAUGAUGGUGGUGAUGGGGACACAACAACAACAAUGAUGAUGAUGAUGAUGGUGGUGGUGGGGACACAAUGAGGAUGAAGAUGAUGAUGGUGGUGAUGAGGACACAACGAGGAUGAAGAUGAUGGUGGUGAUGGGGACACAACAACAACAAUGAUGAUGAUGAUGAUGGUGGUGAUGGGGAUACAACAACGAUGAUGAUGAUGAUGAUGAUGAUGAUGAUGGUGAUGGUGGGGACACAACCAGGAUGAAGAUGAUGGUGAUGAUGGUGAUGGGGACACAACUAUGAUGAUGAUGAUGAUGGUGGUGGUGGGGACACAACAACGAUGAUGGUGGUGGGGACACAAGGAUGAUGAUGAUGGUGGUGGGGACACAACGAGGAUGAAGAUGAUGGUGGUGAUGGGGACACAAUGAGGAUGAUGAUGGUGAUGAUGAUGGGGACACAACAGUGAUGAUGACAAUGAUGGGGACACAACAACAACGAUGAUGAUGGUGAUGGGGACACAGCUAUGAUGAUGAUGGUGAUGGGGAUACAACGAGGAUGAAGAUGAAGAUGGUGGUGGGGACACAACAAGGAGGAGGAUGAUGGUGGUGGGGACACAAUGAGGAUGAAGAUGGUGGUGAUGGGCACACAACAAUGACGAUGACAAUGAUGGUGAUGAUGGGGACGAGGAUGAAGAUGGUGAUGGUGACACAACAAUGGUGAAGAUGGUGAUGGUGACACAACAACGAUGGUGACACAACAAUGACAGUGAUGGUGACACAACAAUGACGGUGGUGACACAACAGUGAUGGGGACACAACAAUGGCAGUGAUGGUGACGCAACGACAACGAUGAUGGUGAUGGGGACACAACAAUGAUGGUGACGAUGACGUCAUUGACAAUGACCUCAUUGCCAGUGACAAUGACGAUGAUGCCGAUGGUGACAGUGACAUUGGUGAUGAUGGUGACGUCAUUGCCGAUGACCUCAUUGCAACGGUGACGAUGACAAUGAUGACAUCAUCGGCAAUGACGUCAUUGCCUGUGACGAUGACGAUGCCGGUAACGAUGACUGAUGAUGAUGACGUCACUGACAACGACACCGACGAUGCUGACGAUGAAGAUGACGAUGAUGACGACGAUGAUGACAUCAUUACUGGUGACGUCAUUAGCAAUGACAUCAUCACCCACCAACUCCUCCCUGGAAUUCAAUCCCAAAAUCCCCCCCCAAAAAAUCCCUGGAAUUCGAUCCAAAAUCCCCCCCAAAAAUCCCUGGAAUUCCACCCCAAAUCUCCCAAAAAAAUCCCUGGAAUUUGAUCCCAAAUCACCCCAAAAAAAUCCCCAGAAUUCGAUCCCAAAUCCCCAGAAUUCGAUCCCAAAUCCUCCCAAAAAAACCCGGAAUUGGAUCCCAAAUCCUCCCAAAAAUCCCUGGAAUUUGAUCCCAAAUCCCCCCCAAAAUCCACGGAAUUCGAUCCCAAAUCCCCCCCAAAAAUCCCCGGAAUUCGAUCCCAAAUUCCCCCCCAAAAACUCCCUGAAAUUCAAUCCCAAAUCCCUGAAAUUCGAUCCCAAAUCCCCCCCCCAAAAUCCCUGGAAUUUGAUCCCAAAUCCCCCCAAAAAACCUUGGAAUUCAAUUCUAAAUCCCCGGAAUUCAAUCCCAAAUCCCCCCCAAAAAUCCCUGGAAUUUGAUCCCAAAUCACCCCAAAAAAUUCCCCAGAAUUCGAUCCCAAAUCCCCCCAAAAAACCCUGGAAUUCAAUCCCAAAUCCCCCCAAAAAAUCCCUGGAAUUUGAUCCCAAAUCCCUCCAAAAAAACCCUGAAAUUCAAAUCCCAAAUCCCCCAAAAAAUCCCUGAAAUUCAAUCCCAAAUUCCCCCCAAAAAAUCCCUGGAAUUCAAUCCCAAAUCCCACAAAAAAAACCCUGGAAUUUGAUCCCAAAUCCCCCCAAAAACUCCUGGAAUUUAAUCCCAAAUUCCCCCAAAAAAUCCCUGGAAUUCGAUCCCAGAUCUCCAAAAAAUCCCUGGAAUUUGAUCCCAAAUCCACCCUAAAAAUCCCUGGAAUUCAAUCCCAAAUCCCCCCCAAAAAUCCCCGGAAUUUGAUCCCAAAUCUCCUCCCAAAAAACCCUGGAAUUCAAUCCCAAAUCCCCCCCAAAAAAUCCCUGAAAUUCGAUCCCAAAUCCCCCCCAAAAACUCCCUGGAAUUUGAUCCCAAAUUCCCAGAAUUCAAUCCCAAAUCCCUCCCAAAAAAUCCCUGGAAUUCAAUCCCAAAUCCCUGGAAUUCGAUCCCAAAUCCCCCCCAAAAACUCCCUGAAAUUCAAUCCCAAAUCCCUGAAAUUCAAUCCCAAAUCCCCUCCCUAAAAAUUCCCAAAUUUUGCAGUUUGGGCUUCAAAAAAAAAACCAAAAAAUACCCCACAAAAAAACAAAAAAAAAGUGGCUUUUUGGGGGUUGUUUUAUUGGGAAUUUUUUGUGGUUGUUGUUGAUGUGGUGAUGUCGCUUCUUUAUUUUCUUGGGAAGAAAAAAAUCCGGGAUAAAAA